This 638-nucleotide ribosomal RNA is filed under the name Klebsiella pneumoniae. RNAcentral describes it as "bacterial SSU rRNA". It matches the Rfam family "Bacterial small subunit ribosomal RNA", at positions 67 to 704 of the family's 1533-position model. The record is from RNAcentral. Lineage: Bacteria; Pseudomonadati; Pseudomonadota; Gammaproteobacteria; Enterobacterales; Enterobacteriaceae.
CCAGACGCUUGCUCUCGGGUGACGAGCGGCGGACGGGUGAGUAAUGUCUGGGAAACUGCCUGAUGGAGGGGGAUAACUACUGGAAACGGUAGCUAAUACCGCAUAAUGUCGCAAGACCAAAGUGGGGGACCUUCGGGCCUCAUGCCAUCAGAUGUGCCCAGAUGGGAUUAGCUAGUAGGUGGGGUAACGGCUCACCUAGGCGACGAUCCCUAGCUGGUCUGAGAGGAUGACCAGCCACACUGGAACUGAGACACGGUCCAGACUCCUACGGGAGGCAGCAGUGGGGAAUAUUGCACAAUGGGCGCAAGCCUGAUGCAGCCAUGCCGCGUGUGUGAAGAAGGCCUUCGGGUUGUAAAGCACUUUCAGCGGGGAGGAAGGCGGUGAGGUUAAUAACCUUGUCGAUUGACGUUACCCGCAGAAGAAGCACCGGCUAACUCCGUGCCAGCAGCCGCGGUAAUACGGAGGGUGCAAGCGUUAAUCGGAAUUACUGGGCGUAAAGCGCACGCAGGCGGUCUGUCAAGUCGGAUGUGAAAUCCCCGGGCUCAACCUGGGAACUGCAUUCGAAACUGGCAGGCUAGAGUCUUGUAGAGGGGGGUAGAAUUCCAGGUGUAGCGGUGAAAUGCGUAGAGAUCUGGAGG